Molecule: ribosomal RNA, 440 nt
Filed under: uncultured bacterium
Lineage: Bacteria
Description: partial 16S ribosomal RNA
Rfam family: Bacterial small subunit ribosomal RNA
Source: RNAcentral
CCUACGGGAGGCAGCAGUAGGGAAUAUUGCUCAAUGGGGGAAACCCUGAAGCAGCAACGCCGCGUGGAGGAUGAAGGUUUUCGGAUUGUAAACUCCUUUUGUUAGAGAAGAUAAUGACGGUAUCUAACGAAUAAGCCCCGGCUAACUCCGUGCCAGCCGCCGCGGUCAUACGGAGGGUGCAAGCGUUACUCGGAAUCACUGGGCGUAAAGAGCGCGUAGGCGGGAUAGCAAGUCAGAUGUGAAAUCCUAUGGCUUAACCAUAGAACUGCAUUUGAAACUGUUAUUCUAGAGUAUGGGAGAGGUAGGUGGAAUUCUUGGUGUAGGGGUAAAAUCCGUAGAGAUCAAGAGGAAUACUCAUUGCGAAGGCGACCUGCUAGAACAUAACUGACGCUGAUGCGCGAAAGCGUGGGGAGCAAACAGGAUUAGAUACCCGAGUAGUC